CAGCCGCCGCGGUAAUACCGGCGGCCCGAGUGGCGGCCACUAUUAUUGGGCUUAAAGCGUCCGUAGCCGGGUUGGUUAGUCUCCCGGGAAAUCUGGCCGCUUAACGGUCAGAAUUCCGGGAGAUACUGCCAGCCUAGGGACCGGGAGAGGCCGAGGGUAUUCCCGGAGUAGGGGUGAAAUCCUAUAAUCCCGGGAGGACCACCUGUGGCGAAGGCGCUCGGCUGGAACGCGUCCGACGGUGAGGGACGAAGGCCAGGGGAGCAAACCGGAUUAGAUACCCGGGUAGUCCUGGCUGUAAACGAUGCGGACGUUGUGUCGGACAAGCUAUGAGCUUGUCCGGUGCCGGAGGGAAACCGUUAAGUCCGCCGCCUGGGGAGUACGGCCGCAAGGCUGAAACUUAAAGGAAUUGGCGGG
RNAcentral lists this ribosomal RNA (414 nucleotides) under uncultured microorganism. RNAcentral describes it as "bacterial SSU rRNA". It matches the Rfam family "Archaeal small subunit ribosomal RNA", at positions 459 to 872 of the family's 1478-position model. The record is from RNAcentral.